GAUCCCGUCGUUCAACGGAUAGGACACAGUUUUGCGAAGACUGUAAUUUGGGUUCGAUUCCCAACGGGGUCACCA
Molecule: transfer RNA, 75 nt
Filed under: Patescibacteria group bacterium
Lineage: Bacteria
Description: tRNA-Arg
Rfam family: tRNA
About the family: Transfer RNA (tRNA) molecules are approximately 80 nucleotides in length.
Source: RNAcentral